This 504-nucleotide ribosomal RNA is filed under the name uncultured bacterium. RNAcentral describes it as "partial 16S ribosomal RNA". It matches the Rfam family "Bacterial small subunit ribosomal RNA", at positions 30 to 523 of the family's 1533-position model. The record is from RNAcentral.
AUUGAACGCUGGCGGCAUGCCUUACACAUGCAAGUCGAACGGCAGCAUGGAGAGCUUGCUCUCUGAUGGCGAGUGGCGAACGGGUGAGUAAUACAUCGGAACGUGCCCAGUUGUGGGGGAUAACUACUCGAAAGAGUAGCUAAUACCGCAUGAGAGCUGAGGUUGAAAGCAGGGGAUCGUAAGAACUUGCGCAACUGGAGCGGCCGAUGGCAGAUUAGGUAGUUGGUGGGAUAAAAGCUUACCAAGCCGACGAUCUGUAGCUGGUCUGAGAGGACGACCAGCUACACUGGGACUGAGACACGGCCCAGACUCCUACGGGAGGCAGCAGUGGGGAAUUUUGGACAAUGGGCGAAAGCCUGAUCCAGCAAUGCCGCGUGCAGGAUGAAGGCCUUCGGGUUGUAAACUGCUUUUGUACGGAACGAAAAGCUUCGGGCUAAUACCCUGGAGUCAUGACGGUACCGUAAGAAUAAGCACCGGCUAACUACGUGCCAGCCGCCGCAGUAA